Molecule: long non-coding RNA, 853 nt
Organism: Frieseomelitta varia
Lineage: Eukaryota; Metazoa; Arthropoda; Insecta; Hymenoptera; Apidae
Exons: 4
Source: RefSeq, a predicted model, not a curated record
GAGGAAGAUUUGCACAAUUGUUUCUCGAAUUCUAUGAGAUCAGAUCAAAAUCUCGAUGAUGCAUGCUAACGACGCUAUCAACUAUCAACGAUAUUUCGAGAAAUUAGUUUUUACAGUUACCAUCAAGCUUUUAUUUAGGACAAAAAUUUAAAAUUAUCAGACUAAAAACUGACACGCUACACGCAAAAUCGUCUGCACUUAUACGGUUAGCAGUGACCGUGGCGAUGGUGGAGAAGUUGUGCGACGCGACACGAGACCGGCAAUCGCUUAAUUGUGAUUAAUUGCGGUUUUACCAGGAAAAGAUCGCGUUGUAACGGCGCGAGCCAAUUACUCGGCGCGAGUCGUCCAACCGAUUCGCUUGCUCGCGCAACUUUAAAGAGCCAGUUGCGUGCCACGCUUUGUUUCCCUUGCUUUCACGCAUCGUAUCGAAAAAAAAACCCACAGCCCUCUGGAUUUCUCAGCGAUUCUACUUGAUCGUGUUCGCUGAUCACUCUCCCAUCUACAAUAGCUUGACUCCCGCGAAUAACUUCAUUGCGACAAUUAAAAUUAUCGACUGUACCGUUUACAAGAGCUCCUUUCGUAUAGCCGAAGACUUGUGUCACGCAAAUUCGAUUUUACAAAUGCUCUUCCGUUUAAAAGAAAAGUAAAGAAGACACAAAAUAAUUUAUAUACGUCUAUAGUUUCUGGAAGAAAUUUCUUGAAAGAAGAAGAUCUCAACAGUCUAUGAUAAAUAGUUAUUACGAUCAAGGAAUUUCAUGGAUCAUCAUGCCUGUACCAUCCUUAACCCACUUGCAACUGAUUGCGGACCAUAACGAGUGACCAAAUACAUUAAUUUCGUCGCUUUCUUUUUGAA